Molecule: ribosomal RNA, 496 nt
Filed under: uncultured bacterium
Lineage: Bacteria
Description: partial 16S ribosomal RNA
Rfam family: Bacterial small subunit ribosomal RNA
Source: RNAcentral
GAUGAACGCUGGCGGCGUGCCUAAUACAUGCAAGUCGAACGAACAGACGAGGAGCUUGCUCCUCUGACGUUAGCGGCGGACGGGUGAGUAACACGUGGAUAACCUACCUAUAAGACUGGGAUAACUUCGGGAAACCGGAGCUAAUACCGGAUAAUAUAUUGAACCGCAUGGUUCAAUAGUGAAAGACGGUUUUGCUGUCACUUAUAGAUGGAUCCGCGCCGCAUUAGCUAGUUGGUAAGGUAACGGCUUACCAAGGCAACGAUGCGUAGCCGACCUGAGAGGGUGAUCGGCCACACUGGAACUGAGACACGGUCCAGACUCCUACGGGAGGCAGCAGUAGGGAAUCUUCCGCAAUGGGCGAAAGCCUGACGGAGCAACGCCGCGUGAGUGAUGAAGGUCUUCGGAUCGUAAAACGCUGUUAUUAGGGAAGAACAAAUGUGUAAGUAACUAUGCACGUCUUGACGGUACCGAAUCAGAAAACCACGGCUAACUACGU